Molecule: ribosomal RNA, 85 nt
Filed under: Disa borbonica
Lineage: Eukaryota; Viridiplantae; Streptophyta; Magnoliopsida; Asparagales; Orchidaceae
Description: partial 25S ribosomal RNA
Rfam family: Eukaryotic large subunit ribosomal RNA
Source: RNAcentral
GUGCGACCCCAGGAUUGGCGGGAUGACCCGCUGAGUUUAAGCAUAUCAAUAAGCGGAGGAGAGGAAACUUACGAGGAUUCCCCUA